This 253-nucleotide ribosomal RNA is filed under the name uncultured bacterium. RNAcentral describes it as "partial 16S ribosomal RNA". It matches the Rfam family "Bacterial small subunit ribosomal RNA", at positions 524 to 776 of the family's 1533-position model. The record is from RNAcentral.
UACGUAGGGGGCAAGCGUUGUCCGGAAUUACUGGGCGUAAAGGGCUCGUAGGUGGCCAACUAAGUCAGACGUGAAAUCCCUCGGCUUAACCGGGGAACUGCGUCUGAUACUGGAUGGCUUGAGUUCGGGAGAGGGAUGCGGAAUUCCAGGUGUAGCGGUGAAAUGCGUAGAUAUCUGGAGGAACACCGGUGGCGAAGGCGGCAUCCUGGACCGACACUGACGCUGAGGAGCGAAAGCCAGGGGAGCAAACGGG